AUUGAACGCUGGCGGCAUGCCUUACACAUGCAAGUCGAACGGCAGCGCGGGGCAACCUGGCGGCGAGUGGCGAACGGGUGAGUAAUAUAUCGGAACGUACCCUGGAGUGGGGGAUAACGUAGCGAAAGUUACGCUAAUACCGCAUACGAUCUAAGGAUGAAAGCAGGGGACCGCAAGGCCUUGUGCUCCUGGAGCGGCCGAUAUCUGAUUAGCUAGUUGGUGGGGAAAGGCCUACCAAGGCAUCGAUCAGUAGCUGGUCUGAGAGGACGACCAGCCACACUGGAACUGAGACACGGUCCAGACUCCUACGGGAGGCAGCAGUGGGGAAUUUUGGACAAUGGGCGAAAGCCUGAUCCAGCAAUGCCGCGUGAGUGAAGAAGGCCU
This 384-nucleotide ribosomal RNA is filed under the name uncultured bacterium. Its description in RNAcentral is "bacterial SSU rRNA". It matches the Rfam family "Bacterial small subunit ribosomal RNA", at positions 30 to 417 of the family's 1533-position model. The record is from RNAcentral.